Larimichthys crocea (large yellow croaker) is the source of this 235-nucleotide long non-coding RNA. RefSeq lists it as uncharacterized. The transcript has 3 exons. The record is from RefSeq and is a predicted model, not a curated record. Lineage: Eukaryota; Metazoa; Chordata; Actinopteri; Sciaenidae.
CUGAUAAAAGUUGGAGAGCUGCUCCCCACUGUGAAGAAAUAGAGCCAGAAGACUGCCACUGCUGGAACUCACAGAAAGACACAAGAAUAAAGCUCGUUUGAUGGAACAGUCAGACAGGCUAUCAUUGGACAGGGCCACAUCUGGUGUUGGUGUUUGGUUGUGACUUUCACACUAUGAAAGAACAAAGAACUUGACGAUAAUCUGGAACAAACACACUAGCUGACUCAACGUACUC